This 460-nucleotide ribosomal RNA is filed under the name uncultured bacterium. RNAcentral's name for it is "bacterial SSU rRNA". It matches the Rfam family "Bacterial small subunit ribosomal RNA", at positions 29 to 507 of the family's 1533-position model. The record is from RNAcentral.
AACGAACGCUGGCGGCAGGCUUAACACAUGCAAGUCGAACGCUCGUGGCAACACGGGAGUGGCAGACGGGUGAGUAACGCGUGGGAACCUACCCUUUUCUACGGAAUAACUGAGGGAAACUUCAGCUAAUACCGUAUACGCCCUACGGGGGAAAGAUUUAUCGGAGAAGGAUGGGCCCGCGUCUGAUUAGCUAGUUGGUGGGGUAAAAGCCCACCAAGGCGACGAUCUGUAGCUGGUCUGAGAGGACGACCAGCCACACUGGAACUGAGACACGGUCCAGACUCCUACGGGAGGCAGCAGUGGGGAAUUUUGGACAAUGGGCGCAAGCCUGAUCCAGCAAUGCCGCGUGCAGGAUGAAGGCCCUCGGGUUGUAAACUGCUUUUGUACGGAGCGAAACGGCUCUCUCUAAUACAGGGGGCUAAUGACGGUACCGUAAGAAUAAGCACCGGCUAACUACGUG